Molecule: transfer RNA, 72 nt
Filed under: Aeromonas phage Akh-2
Lineage: Duplodnaviria; Heunggongvirae; Uroviricota; Caudoviricetes; Demerecviridae
Description: tRNA-Phe
Rfam family: tRNA
About the family: Transfer RNA (tRNA) molecules are approximately 80 nucleotides in length. Their secondary structure includes four short double-helical elements and three loops (D, anti-codon, and T loops). Further hydrogen bonds mediate the characteristic L-shaped molecular structure. tRNAs have two regions of fundamental functional importance: the anti-codon, which is responsible for specific mRNA codon recognition, and the 3' end, to which the tRNAs corresponding amino acid is attached (by aminoacyl-tRNA synthetases). tRNAs cope with the degeneracy of the genetic code in two manners: having more than one tRNA (with a specific anti-codon) for a particular amino acid; and 'wobble' base-pairing, i.e. permitting non-standard base-pairing at the 3rd anti-codon position.
Source: RNAcentral
GGAGCUGUAGCUGAAAUGGAUUAGUAUCUGGUUGAAACCCAGAAGAUGUUGGAUCGUUACCAACCGGCUCCA